Molecule: long non-coding RNA, 341 nt
Filed under: Brassica napus (rape)
Lineage: Eukaryota; Viridiplantae; Streptophyta; Magnoliopsida; Brassicales; Brassicaceae
Description: long non-coding RNA (BNAP_LNC018551)
Source: RNAcentral
UGGAGUUUCAACGAUCUCUUCCGGAGAUUCUUGAGAUCCGAUAUAGAAGAGAACAUCUCUGGCCGUUAUUCCUUUUCACAAAGUUUCCUUUCUCACGGCGUAUUCCUUUUUCGCGAAGAUCGUUCUUUCCUUUUCAUCCAGGCCUGGCUACUUUUGAGGAUCUUCCAGAAUAUCGGACAACAUGAAUAUUUCCUUUUUCCAGCUCUAGAGGAAGAGAAAUUUGGUGUAUAUAAAGGUUUGUGUUGGGGUCAAAAUCGGUCACGACGGAAUCAAUGUCUGAAAGUCAGUAAAAAUCGGCAUGAACGUUUUUUAAAAAAAUAAAUCUUAGAAAAAGAUCUAUU